This 342-nucleotide ribosomal RNA is filed under the name uncultured bacterium. RNAcentral's name for it is "bacterial SSU rRNA". It matches the Rfam family "Bacterial small subunit ribosomal RNA", at positions 32 to 353 of the family's 1533-position model. The record is from RNAcentral.
AAUCAACGCUGGCGGCGUGCCUCAGACAUGCAAGUCGAACGCGAAAUUUCCCUUCGGGGAGAAAGUAGAGUGGCGCACGGGUGAGUAACACGUAGGUAAUUUGCCUUUGGGUGGGGAAUAACUCAGGGAAACUUGAGCUAAUACCGCAUAAUGCAGCGGCUCGACAUCGAGACAGUUGUUAAAGCGGGGGAUCGCAAGACCUCGCGCCUAAAGAGAAGCCUGCGGCAGAUUAGCUAGUUGGUAGGGUAAUGGCCUACCAAGGCAACGAUCUGUAACCGGCCUGAGAGGGCGGUCGGUCACACUGACACUGACAUACGGGUCAGACUCCUACGGGAGGCAGCA